UACCAGCACCCCGAGUUGUCGUGACGAUUAUUGGGCCUAAAGCAUCCGUAGCCUGUUCUGCAAGUCCUCCGUUAAAUCCACCCGCUUAACGGAUGGGCUGCGGGGGAUACUGCAGAGCUAGGAGGCGGGAGAGGCAAACGGUACUCAGUGGGUAGGGGUAAAAUCCAUUGAUCUACUGAAGACCACCAGUGGCGAAGGCGGUUUGCCAGAACGCGCUCGACGGUGAGGGAUGAAAGCUGGGGGAGCAAACCGG
Molecule: ribosomal RNA, 253 nt
Filed under: uncultured bacterium
Lineage: Bacteria
Description: partial 16S ribosomal RNA
Rfam family: Archaeal small subunit ribosomal RNA
Source: RNAcentral